This is a long non-coding RNA of Amphimedon queenslandica, 1103 nucleotides long. RefSeq lists it as uncharacterized. The record is from RefSeq and is a predicted model, not a curated record. Lineage: Eukaryota; Metazoa; Porifera; Demospongiae; Haplosclerida; Niphatidae. The transcript is spliced from 2 exons.
GAUGAAAAUAGCCCAUCUUACUGUACAUUAGCAAUCUCCCAGAAGUGACCACCUCUAAACUCCAGACAGCGGACAGUUUUACAAGCACAAAGAAGCUUCUAAACAUGGUGAUUUUACCUCUGUAAAUUGACAUUUCCGGAAAUAUGGAAAGCCACACCCUCAAUAUUAAAGUUAAUAGUAAUCAUUAAAUUAAUAAGAACACUUAGAACAGUUAUUAUAGUAUAAUAAUGAUGCUAGGCCUAGUAUUUAUAGAUUAUACAGUAGCUAUAGCUUAAUGCUUGACCUAAACCUGAUCUCUGAAACGGGGAGGUCACAACACAACCUCUGAGAAGAGGACAACCUCUGAAUAAAGGACAAUAGCUGACUUCCCAAAGUGUCCGCUCUGCGGAGGUUUGACUGUAAUCGUUCAAUUAAUUAUCCUUAUUAUAAGUACAUUGUAUAUCUUUUCAAAUAUGGUUAUAUUAAGCUACUGUGUAAUAAUGUAAUAGUGUCUGAAAAUUUGCAUGGAAAUGUACAUGUACACAUUAUGUCCGUUAUAGUUUUUUAUUUUUUAGGGUGUCAUGCCAUUUCCAAUGCCAUGGUAUGGGCAAACAGGCACAAUCUUAAUGACUGCAUUCUAUAUACAGUGACUUAUCCAUGCAACAAAUGUGCUCAACUUAUUAUCCAGUCUCGUAUGAGUCAUGUCCAUUACAUGAACAAGUGGCAGUGUGAUGGCUCAGAGACCACUUACUCUCAAAAGCUAUUGAGUGAAGCUGGGAUAUCGUGCAGAGAGUAUCUUCCAAUGAAAGACAUUGAGAUUGAUUUUAGAAGAAUGGAUCCUGCUCUUUUUGAUGGGUCGAGUGCUUUAUCAAAACUAUAGUAACAGUAUUAAUUUUUAAAUCAAUUAUUAUUAAUAUUUUUAAUCCUGAUUGAAUUAUUAUUUAUUUUACUAUUUAUUAUAGCAGGACUAGAAAAUCUGGUGAGACUACCUUUUAAAUUUUAAGCAUGUAUAGAAAUUAUUUUGUAUGCAAUUGUACAUUAUUUUUAAUUUAUUUCUGGUUUGUUACAGUUUACAUUGCAAAAUUUGCAUUAUAUGUGUAGAGAUUCACAUUAUGCAUUUGGAA